Sorghum bicolor (sorghum) is the source of this 8948-nucleotide RNA transcript. It is a transcript of the gene named chromatin modification-related protein eaf-1, with no coding region annotated. The transcript is spliced from 11 exons. The record is from RefSeq and is a predicted model, not a curated record. NCBI's taxonomy places the organism in Eukaryota, Viridiplantae, Streptophyta, Magnoliopsida, Poales, Poaceae.
AAGUUUCUAUAUAGCACGCAAAAUCAUGUUAUUUUCAUGGUCACAUCACGAACUUUUUGGAAAAAAACCAUGCGUGCAAAUCCGUUAUUGAAUAUCUGAAUGAUACAGAGGAGAUAGUUGUCCUAUCUAUGCGUCAUGUGAAUUCUAUUUAGUCUAAAAUUCCGUCUCUUAGAUGUGUGACCUUUAGAAUUUGAAAAGCUCAUGUGUGCAAAUACCUUAUUGAAUUAUUUAAUAUCUGAAUGAUACAGAGGAGAUACUUAUUCUAUCUAUGCGUCAUGUGAAUUCUAUUUUAGUCUAAAAUCCCAUCUUUUAAAUUUGUGGCCUUCAGAAUUUGAUUUAGUCUGAAUGAUACUUAGGAGGUACUUAUCCUAUCUAUCCAUUAUUGAAGCUUUUUAGAAUGGGAUGGAUGAUGCCCUGCUUACAUGAUCACGCUUGUUAGGCACCUCUUUAGAUGUGUGAAAAUGAUGUUCGCAAAAAAAAGGUGUGUGAAAAUGAUUAAGAGUAGCAUUGUGUAGAAAAUAGUUGUACAGAAGCAUACUUUUGCUAUGUAUUUUAUAGAUGUAUAUCAUUACAAGCAGCGGUGGAGCUUGGACCUAAACCCAGCAGGGGCCAAUCAUUAAAGAACAGUACUACUCUGUUAUUGUUAUCAAGUCAAAUGGCUGAAACUAAUGGAGUUCACAAAAGUUCAGGGGUGGCCAUGACCUAGUUGGCCCGGGAGAAGCUCUGCCACUGAUUACGAGAACCACAGAGUGUACACCUUUGUUGCUGGUUCCAUCUAGUGACAGUUUGUAGCUAGCUUGUCAAAAUCUAGUCACAAGAAUUCUGGGUCGACCGGGUCGAGGGACGCGGGUCGACACUCAACAAAAAUGUGGUAUGAAGAGGGUAUAUUUCUGCGGUAUGAGAACCAAAUAUUUGGUACAUGAACCCAAAGCCUAUGGGUCGAUGAUCCCGGUACGAAGCAUGGAGUCUUGUAUGUAUUGCAGUGGUUGACUUGUUGAUUUGGGACAUGAGGAUCUGUUUUCAAUCUCUUGGUUUUGCAUUUGACUUGUUGAUUACAGUCUAAAUUAGGAAACAAAUCAUAUAUAGUUUUUUUUGAACUGAAUCUCUUUUCCUUUUUUAAGACUAUACAUUAGGAAACAAAUCACAGGAUUUUUUUUUCACGAAGGGAAAUAGGGAAAUGUCCCACCACAUGCGACACUAAUUUUCUCCUCCAAAAACUAAAAGAAAGUGUGUAACUUGUACAGUCUCAUUAGAAAACAAAUAGAAGUUAGAGAAGCACAUGCUCAAUCGACGGGAUCCCCUGUCUGCCAUUCACGGGAAUGAGGUGCGGCGGCUGUCUAGCCCCCGGCGAGCGAGCGACCAGUCACCAGCACAAGCAUGGACGGCGGCGCGGCGCCAUAGAGCGUGGGGCACCUCUGAUUCGGUGCUGCCUCUGUCCUGAAUCUUACCGUCGACGGAGAUGCCAGUGAUGUCACGUCCGGGCCAGCGGCGAUGCCAGCGAGUGGAACCUCAAGCCCCAUCCAUAAGCCUUUGUUCAUCUGCAUCUCGCCGUCUAGGAUUGGUACUCGUCCCUUCUUGAACCCUGCUGCAAUGGGGCAUCGACCCGUCCAUAAAUGGGACGUCGACCCAUCUCGUACCUGUACCUCGCUUUGAGUUGGCGUAGCUGGUACGCGGUUCGCGGCUUCGUCCCUGAACCCUGUGACUAUGGUCAAAAUAGGUCCAUAGUGCUUUCCCUUUCAAGAGAAGAAUAAUUCUUUUGCUGGUUGUUAAGCCAUUACGAAAUAAUCCAAGUCACACUUGACAGCUAUCUAGUGUUUACUAAUAUGGUAAAAAUAUUCAGACAUGCGCUGUCCUUGACCAAAUUAUUAGCUACUAGUUGUAAUUCAUUAACUAAUCUGUUUUUUUAGCCAUAAAUACAGCAGGGGAAGCCCCCACUGUUGGUAUAUAAAUCAAAUAAAUAAACUGUACAGAGAGAAAGGGAGAAACGGAAAGGACUACAGUCUACAGGCUGUACAACUGUACAGAAAGAGAGGGAAAGAAGAGAAACAGCAGGAGGGAGUCAGCCUUGUAGUCCUAAAGAGGACAGAAAGGUUGCAGUGAUGUUGAGUGAGCAGUACGCGAAUUUAGUUAGUUGCAGUGAUGUGCACCCUAAAAAUUCUGGGUUGUGGGCCUGUUGCUGUUAUUAAUCUCUUGAUGAUGACUUAAUUUGAAGUGUGCUAUGAUCCUUGCUUUGCCCUCUUGUUCUUCUGGCCUACUGCUGUUAUUAGUCUUAAAAUGUUAGAACACUCCCCGUAUGAGGAAUAUCAUGUGCUCCGUGUUACAGGUGAACUUCCAUUAGCCUAUUUUCUGUGCCCACCCUUUAAUUUCUGCGAUCUGAAACACUGAUUUUGUCCACAAAAGCACUUAAACAGCAAGCAUUGGUCAGUCUUUUGCUUGCCUAGCUUGCCAUUUUAAUCCUUAAUGUUGUCAUAUGCAUACAUGAGAACCCUUCUAUAAACACAUAUGUAAAUUCACUUUUAAGCUAUUAGGCACCCUCAUUUCUUCAUACUGAAGCAUUUCUUUUGCAUACAUGUGCUCACUGUUAUUAAUCAGAUGACUAAUUGCGAUUAGUCAUCCUUAUUGUAACAUGGACCUUGAUUAGACCCUUGAUCUGAUUACCUUGACUAGAAACCUUUUUGUCCUGACUAAUGGAUGACUAAUCAUGAUUAGUUGUCCAAUUAAGCCACUCAGAUGAAUAGUUUCCCAGCCACCCUCCUCCCCUCCACCAAGGACCACCUGCCGCUGCUGCAGAUUGACUGCUUGAGGAUGGGCGCGAGGAAGGAGCUCACUUCCUUGUGCCUGCACUCAAGCAGUCAAGCUGCAGUGGCCGCAGGUGGUUCUCAAGCAGCACCAGCCAGGGGUUCAUCCUCAACCUCGACUCAACUGUGCUUGGCUGCUUGCUUUGUUUGCCUAAAUUUCACGCGCAGACCUUGAACUUGGCAGGGACUGAUUCUUUGGUUCGGGAGAUAUCAUUUGUUCACUGUAAAGUGCUAGGCAGGGGUGGAGUGGUUCUUAGCGCCUGAUAGCAACUAAACAGGUUACGUGGCAGGUACACACGAGGCUUGAUAUUUGACUGGGGCACUGGGCAGAGUUUGACAAGUUUCAGCAAUGGGGUUUGAUAAUGAAUGUAUCUUGAGUAUUCAAUCCCUUCCUGGUGAAUAUUUCUGCCCUGUUUGCCGGACACUCGUAUAUCCCAAUGAGGCCCUACAAACUCAAUGCACACAUCUCUACUGCAAAUCCUGCUUGGCGUAUGUAGUGGCAACCACACAAGCUUGUCCUUAUGAUGGAUACCUUGUAACAGAAGCUGAUUCGAAGCCUCUUAUGGAAUCAAAUAAAACCCUUGCUGAGACUAUUGGCAAAGUCGCGGUCUAUUGCCUGUAUAAUAAGAGUGGCUGCCAAUGGCAUGGAGAGCUAUCUGCCUGUAUCACACAUGGUGCUACUUGUGCAUAUGGUAACUCUCCUGUUGUUUGCAAUCGUUGUGGGACACAAAUUGUCCAUCGUCAAGUGCAAGAACAUGCUCAACUCUGCCAUGGCUUACAAUCUCAAACCCAACAAGCUGAUGGUAGUCAGGUGCAGCUAGCAGCGACAACAACUCAGCCAGUCACCCAAGAUCCAUCACUUGUCUCAGCUGGAUCUGCUGCACCUGCAGCUGCAACCCUACCAAAGCCGUCUUCAACUACAGCCACAGGUCUAACAGAUUCUGCAACAGCAACCGGAGGGGCAGCUGGUGCAACCACAGCAGCAGUGCCUUCUUCAGCUGCAUCUAUUCCCGCUUCUCAAACUCCAACAGCUGAGCAGUGGUACCAGCAGCAGCAGCUCCAAUUCUCGCAAUACUACCAGCAGCAGCACCCUGGAUCCAACCCUUACAUGCAGCAAUAUCAACAGUAUGACAAAUACCAGCAGGUGUAUCAGCAAUACAUGCAACCUCCAAUGCAAGUACUGUCCCAAAAUGUGGUGCCAGGAUCUGCACAACCUGCUUCCUAUGUUCAGCCUCAAGUGCAGUCCUCCCAGCUGAUGAUGCAAGCCCAAAGUCAGCCCCAGGUCCAUCCAUUGACAAGUCAACCACAGCUUCAGCAGCAUCCGGUUCAACCCCAACCCCAAAGUCACCCUCAUCUUUCCCAUGUUCAAGCACCUGCAGGUCAGUCGCAGCUUCACAAACCAAUUCAGUCAGCCCAAGUUCCACAGCUCCAACCAAGUCAAGUUCCUCUCCAACCAUCUGGUCUUCAAGUACAAACUGCAACACAUCCAUCUGCUCCUACUCAAGUUGGUAACCAGCAAUUUGCUACUCAAGCAACGGCUCAUCAAGUGCAGCCACAUGUACAAGCUCAACCUCCGCAGCAGCAGCAUAUUUUUGCACAGCAACAACAUCCACAUCUGCAAGCUUUACCUCCACAGCAAAAUAUUCAACCUCAGAUGCAGCUAAACUCUCAAGUUCAGCUCCAGCCUCCACAUGUCCAGCAGCAAGCUUACCCACAACUUCAGGCCUAUCCUCAACAAACACAUAUGCGCCCCCAGAAUGCUUCAUAUACACAGCAGCAAACACCACAAGGUGCUCUUUUGCAACCUGCACAUGUGUCUCACCAACAAGCACAUGUUUCUCAUCAUCCUGCACCGAUGCGUCCUCCAUUGCCAGGCCAACAGCCAGCUUUGCAGCCUCAAGGAAUCAAACAUACAACACAACAUGAAAAACAUAUUGGGUCUCAUGCUCAGUGGCCACCAAUGUAUUCCAACAUCCCUUCCCAGGCACCACCACAGGGAUUGCCCGCACACUCAUCUGUUUCCUCACAAUCAGUUCAACCAUACCAGCAAGCAAUUUCCUCAUCACAACAGGUGCAUUCCCAACCUGGUCAGCCUUAUACACAACAGCAUGUUACUGGCAAUACUGGACAACACGUUCAAACCUCAGCUGGCAGAUCUAUAACUCAUCUUGCACCAACGCAGCAAUUUCAGCAUCAACAGCCAGCAGUGCUUAGAACUGAGUCGCCUGCUGCUGUGCACCCUAUUGGGCAAGGUUCUUUAGAUCUUGAAAAAAAUACUUCAAAAUCAGGGAAGUCAGAAAAUGCAACUAAUGCUGCUGUCAGUGAAAAUAAAAAUAGCGGUACUGAGUCAGCUGUCAUGAGACCUACAAAGUCACAAUCGGGUGAUGAAAACAUGAACAGCGAACAGAAUGGUUUUGUCAGUGCUAGAAAAGAUGCAGGGCAGACUGGGAUUGUAUUACACGGUUUUGAUGGUUCAAUUAGGAGGGAUGGGAAUACUGACCAGGCAGGUAAUUCACAGGGUCCAAUUGUGCAGGGAGGCAAAGACCAUAAGGCUUCAGAUGCAUCUACUAAUCAUGAGAAAGGACGAUCAUUUCAGCAGGCAUCACUGCAAAAUGCAGGGGCACUGGGCUCUUCUGUGCCCCCAGGUGUGGUACCACAACAUCCAUCUGGACCAGAUAAAUUGCUUCCUCAGCAUAUGAUGAAUCCUGGUCAUAAGCAUGGUUUCUCUGAAAAUAACCGUCCUCCGUUGCAACAACCAUAUGGUUUGUUUCAUUCUGGAACGAUACCAAGGCCAUUUGGAGAGAACCAGAUUCAGAUGCCAAUGUCACAGCCUGGGGGUAUCAGACCUGGUGAUGGUAUUCGACCUCAUGUGGUUGGCGCAUUACCUGGACAUCAUGGUGCAGUAUUGCCUCCUUUUGAUCUUGAACGUUUGGGCCAGCCACAUCUUCUUGGAAUGUUGAACAGCAAUGACUUUGGUGGUGAGAGGUUCAACACUUCAGGGGGUGCAGCAUAUCCUGGAAGACAUGAUAAUAUCAAAGACGACCGGAAACAUUUUCCGGCGCCAGCCCCCCUGGAUGGUCAGGGCUUGCAAAGGGACCCUAGACAUUUUGAGAGAGCUUUAGGUAGACCUGAUGGUUUCCUUGAUUCAGUACCUGGAAGGCCUCCAUUUCCAAACCAUAGAAGUGCAGGUUUGCAUGAGGAUUUUCCAAGAAAGCAAAAUGCAACUGCCAGUCACCCUGACUUCCUGUCACAUGGAGCAGAAUUUGAUCAUCACAGGGCUAUUGAAAUGCCUAAUUUCAGAAACCCAGGCCCAUUUGCUCAAGGGACAAGUGGCGGUCCUGGUGGCCUCCCUAAAAACCAGCUCGGCUCUGGUAACCUUCCUGGGAAUUUACAACAUUCUUUUGAGGGUCCAGACUUCCGUCCAGCUCCUUUCAAUCUUGGUGACAUGCAUCCAGGUGACCGUGACCCUCAUCUUGUCGGUGACUAUUCUCAGCAUGGAUUUCCUAAAACUGCAGCACACUUUGGUUUGGGUGGAUUCUUGAGAAAUGGGAAUUCUGGUUGGUGCCGAAUAUGCAUGUUUAACUGUGGGAGCGCAGAUAAUCUGGAUAUGCAUGUACAAACAAGGGAACAUCAGCAAUGUGCAAUGGACAUUGUCCUGAAAAUGAAGCAAGAUGUUGCAAAGAGGCAAAAACUGAAUUAUGGAGGCCCCAAGUCAUUCAACAACAAAAAGGUUUCUGGGAAGGGCCAUUUUCGUGGGAAUAGACGCUAGUGUUACCUGAUUCAGCUUGAUAUAGUUUUGCAGGUUGCUACUGGUGCUUAUGGGCGUUUCAAAGGCAAUCGAGAAUUGAGAUCUCUUCAGACAUCCUGUUCAUGCGGUUCAGCGUAUUUGAAGUGGAACUUAAACUGGAAACUGUAGGAUAAUUUCCAGCAGAGGGCUCCUGUCAUACUUGCAUGUUUGCCUAACGAUGGUAAGGAUGACAUGCUUUGAUAAUGCUGGUAAGGAAAGAUAGGUAUUGUGCUUUUAUCACAAUGCACUUCAAACUUUUUGACAGAAGUUUUUCAUAUAUGGAUUAUGACUAAAGUGCUGAAGCCAAUCUGUGGCCUGGCAAUUACUUGAACACUAAAGUUUACAGUUUGUAUAAUUGUGAGGACAUUAUGAACUGCUAUGCUUUUGUUCGUAGGAAACAACAUAAGAUAUAGUUAUGUGUAAACUAAUGGAUUGUGUAUGUAUAUAUUCAUUCUGGGUAAGGAGUGAUAUUAUGGCGGCUUGGUUGAACUCAAUUUAUGUGAUCGGCAAUUGGUUGCCCCAUUGUGUGUUUGAUCACUUUCCAGCCUUAGUUAGCUGCCUGGUAGCGCUACCCACAGAAGAUAACCCCCAAUCAAACAAAUAAAGCUGGUUUGGCGUAACAUGGAAUAUAUUUCUCCCAAACACAGGUUGGCUGGUGUUAGAUUUGUUUUAUACAUUUUUUUGCUUCAAUUAGGAUCACUUUCAUAUGACUUUCCUUCACCCUCCUAGUGAAGUGUCAAAAUGCUUAGUAAUUUGCUAGCUAUCUUGCUUAGUGGAUUUCUUUUUAGCCAGUUGUUGCUUUUUCACGACACGCCUUCGUUUACCCUGCAACUUGAACAGCUGGAAGCUUGCCCUUUCAUACUCUGAUACUUAGAUAAGUGUGUAGCGACCCUUUAUUUUUAGAGUUUCAGGGAUAACACCCUGGUCCAUUUGCAUUGCAUCAGGAUUAAAAGUCACAAUCAGUUGCAGCCCAAACUUGCCAUUUUGGUUGGUCAAAACCACCUGCUCAUGGAUUUUGUCCAAACUACUCACAGGGUUGUCGUUCACAUGUGUAACCUCUUCGACAUACUAGAUUUUUUAUAGAACUAGGUAGAAAGGUUAUCUAGCAAGAUGAUAGUAUCGUUCAGAACUUGAUGCUUUCCACUCUACUACCCUUGCUAUUAGUUUGGAUACGACCAAUCUACACUAUAAAAGGCCUCCACAUAUUUAUUCCCUUUUGCUGCAUGCACAAUUUGGUUGCCUGGUUGCAAAUGAAUUUGCUACAGAUUUAUUCCCUCUUCAAAAUUACAUGACAUAUUUUACGUUGCUCAACGACAAGAAAUCAUUCUAAGAUGAUUUGCACUGCCUAUUUAUUUUCUUUGAUUGGAAUGGGGUUGGCUACCAUGAUGACUUACGAAUUGGAAUCCCAAACUCUGGGUUCAUCUAUGGUGGGUAAUAAUGAAAACAUGUAAGUUCCACUCAGUUUUUGACCCAUAGACUGAUCUGGUAUUAAUUGCCUGAAGCUGAGGUUAGUAGACUAUGCUAAAUACAAGCAUUUUUGUAGUACAUAUUCUAAGGAUCCAGCCAAAAAGUCUGUUUUCUUGAAUCUUGGAUUUUUCUCCUAUUUAGCUCUGAAUGAAUUUUAGAAUCACUGGUGCUGGUGCCAUUUGUCACUAGUGUCAAUAGUAAAAGGAAACGAAAUGUUGCAGCGUGAUAGUAUUAUACCACUAUUAUCAAUCGGAUUGCUGUUACAAUAGUAACUUGCAGUGCAGUAUAUUCAAUUUGCUAGUAAUUAGCAACUUGGUGACAUUAUUUGCUGUUUGUGCUUGUCAUAAUGUAGACGAUCUGUGUUUCUUGCCUCUGUUUUCUGUGUUUCUUUGGGAUUCUUGUAGAUGGUGGAUGUGCCUGGGUGCCGACUACUGUUUGAACGAACUGACCACGCCCUCAUUUUCUGCCAGCAUCGGAUGUUUUUGACUGACUCCAGUAUGUACUGUUGCUGAGGUUUAAAUUGUAAAAUUCCCAUCCCGUAGUUCGUUCCUUACCAACUAAUGCACAUGCACCCAAGGUGUAAAAGAAAAUUCUUGUAAUUUAUUCACAAAUAUUUCUAUACAAGUUUGCAGUGUAAAUAAAUAUAACAAUGUUCGUUUCAAUAGAGUGCACCUACUAAUUAAUGUACCUGCUCCUUGUAAAUAAACUCUUGUAUUCGUAAAACUUUUUUUAAUAAAAGUUUCAGUGCGAGAAACCGAUGUAACAUUCAGUGUAUGACGACUAAUUAACCUACUCGAAUGUAAAUUAUUGUAGUAUAUUCUUAAGGGCAUGGAUGAAGUUUCUGGUAUUCUUUCAAAAUUUCUAUAUGAAAAAUUCUACUUUGUAGCGUUUAGCUA